GACUUUAAAUGGCUAAAAACUUUGGGGGCAUGAUUCUGACUCACGCACAAUGACCACAAUGACCAGUUUCUAGGUGAGUGGGCUUAUUCAUAUUUUGGUGUACACACUUUUAUUGAGGUCUCUAAGAGCCAUGUCAACGAUGGCCAUACUCAGCUAAAGCAGUGACAGCUGACCAUACUCCACUCUUCCUUAGACAAGAGGAUCUUGCCAAAGAAUGAGUUCACUGGAGCAACGAACCAACCAAUCACAAAACGCCAAGCGGAGCUCCGAGAGCGGUUAUAUAGCCGUCAUUACCGCCUCCUUUUCUACUCCCCUCCUCCUCCCUAAGCUGCUGUUUCCUGUAAGAGGGAGGCAGAAAGUUGGCCCCUGUUCGUACGACGGCACGUGAUUUAGCCUCCAAGCUGCUGUGCCAAUUUGUGAGUCCAGGGUCUGUGCCACCAUGCCCUUUUACGGCUGCAAGGCGUGUGCCAGUGAACUGAGACCAGACGACGGAGGGGGAAAAAAUAAAAACUGAGAUGAGCAGCGAGAAGGAAGAAUAAGAGGAGGAAGAGGCCUUGAAGAGGAAGAAGCCUUUUACUGAAAUGGAAAAAUGACAAUAAAGUGAGGAACAGGUAGCUGAGAAGAGGCAGGGAUGGGUUCACUAACAGAUUAAUAUAUCCCCUGUCACGUGUUUGAAUGGCUCCAUGCGGAGGUAGAAUAGAAUUAAAGGUCAAUGAAUUCUUGCUUCAUUUAAAAAGAAAGAAAUUAAAAACGUAACGUAGCAUUAACCACAUUCAUUACAGUCGAGCGGGGACAAAUCAGCGCACACUUCAGAGACUCAUAAAAACACAUGACAACAUCCAUAUGAAUGUCUUUCUGCUUUUCCUGGAGCCUAUCUGCUAAGUGCAUAUUUUAAGUUUUGUGCAUUUGUGUGUUUGUGAGUGCAUGUGGGCGAUGCUCCAUUGAUUCUAGCAGACCAAUCAAUUAUUCUCUACUGUGGGUGUCACCACAUGACCACCGUGGAUCCAUACCCACAAUGCACUCUGCCCAUCAUUAGCGUGGAAAACAUCGAUUAGCACAUGGUAAACACCCUGCCAUGGCUAUGUCCACAUAACAAACAAGAUAAUAGUAAUUGCUUGAAAAGGCAAUUAAAAAAUGAAUUCUGUUAAUGAGUUAUGGAGCAAUAUGAAUGAAUGCAGCAAGAUCAGCUCAAUUAGUGUAUCUGGCAUAACAAGCUCCAUUUAAUCCAGUCCAAUACAAGAACCCCGCAGCAAUUCUUUUACAUAUUGAGCUUUUCUUCAGACUGUGUUCGAGGGCUGUUGAUUCAGCGUUAUGCACAUUGUGGAGGCAAAAAGGUGAAAGGUGGUUCAGGUUGAGCUGCAUCGACAUCCCUACAACAGUUUCAUCAAGAACCGAAUGUGAUAAAUUUCAUAUAGGAUUUAUAGGUUUUUGUGUUGGGUUUAUUAGAUGUGUCUAAGCUCACAGUAAAAAUAUUUUUGUUCCCCCUUCCCCUAAGGGACAGUGAGCCUGGUGUGUGUUUUCAUGAAUAAAAUAUUGUGAUAUUUGACAACUUGAAAGACAAUAUAUCCCAGGAGGGUGGAAGGAGAUGGACGAUGAUAUUUCAAUUCAUUCUAGUCGCCAGCAUACAUCUACUGUUUGUGCAACCCAAGAAAAAAGGCUCUGAGUGUUAUUCUCAAACCUUCUCCUCCCUCGAAUUUGUCGCAGCA
Molecule: long non-coding RNA, 1706 nt
Organism: Scophthalmus maximus (turbot)
Lineage: Eukaryota; Metazoa; Chordata; Actinopteri; Pleuronectiformes; Scophthalmidae
Exons: 4
Source: RefSeq, a predicted model, not a curated record